RNAcentral lists this ribosomal RNA (253 nucleotides) under uncultured bacterium. RNAcentral describes it as "partial 16S ribosomal RNA". It matches the Rfam family "Bacterial small subunit ribosomal RNA", at positions 524 to 776 of the family's 1533-position model. The record is from RNAcentral.
UACGUAGGGGGCUAGCGUUGUCCGGAUUUAUUGGGCGUAAAGAGCUCGUAGGCGGUCUGUCGCGUCUGCUGUGAAAUCCCGAGGCUCAACCUCGGGCUUGCAGUGGGUACGGGCAGGCUAGAGUGCGGUAGGGGAGAAUGGAGCUCCUGGUGUAGCGGUGGAAUGCGCAGAUAUCAGGAAGAACACCGAUGGCGAAGGCAGUUCUCUGGGCCGUAACUGACGCUGAGGAGCGAAAGCGUGGGGAGCGAACAGG